This is a non-coding RNA of Capsicum annuum, 78 nucleotides long. The record is from Rfam. Lineage: Eukaryota; Viridiplantae; Streptophyta; Magnoliopsida; Solanales; Solanaceae.
AGGAGCCGUAUGAGGUGAAAAUCUCACGUACGGUUCUGUAAUAGCGAUGGGCACAGUGAUGUUAUCAUCGACUAUGAU